This 104-nucleotide small nuclear RNA is filed under the name Echinops telfairi (small Madagascar hedgehog). The record is from RNAcentral. Lineage: Eukaryota; Metazoa; Chordata; Mammalia; Afrosoricida; Tenrecidae.
GUGCUCAUUUGGGCAGCACACAUGCUGCAGCUGGAGCGCGAGAGAGGAGUUGCAUAGCCCUGCACAAGAAUGCCAGGCAAAUUUGUGAACUGCUGCAUAUUUUU